Molecule: long non-coding RNA, 469 nt
Organism: Micropterus dolomieu (smallmouth bass)
Lineage: Eukaryota; Metazoa; Chordata; Actinopteri; Centrarchiformes; Centrarchidae
Exons: 2
Source: RefSeq, a predicted model, not a curated record
CUGUGAGUCGCGGCUGCACGAGCUGUUUACAGAGACCAGCGGACCUGAAGGAGGACAGGCAGGACGGAGAGCGUGUCCUGAGCGCGCGGACACGCAGACAGACAGUUGCAGAUUUUCCUGUUUUUCCAGAACAGUCGCAGCUGAAACAGGAAGUGAACCCUGGAUUUAAGAAGCACUUUACCCUUAUUUAGCAGCAACAAGUCCUGUGUCAAAUAUCCUCGUAAGUUUUUGUCAUAUUUAGUCCACUGCAAACUAUUUUUAAAGUUGACUAAAAAAAGUCUGAGUAUUUGAGUCAAAAGAAAAUCAAAAGUAUUUUAGUCUAGUUUUCGACAUUAACCAUCAUUUUAGUCUUUUCUAACUCAUUAUCAGCAUUUUGGUCGAUCUGCACGAACCAAAAUAGAGAUAUUUAUCAUUUUAGUCUUUAUUUCACUCAUCUCACAUACAGAUAAAUUGUUUUGUAAAAUUUGAA